This 400-nucleotide ribosomal RNA is filed under the name uncultured bacterium. Its description in RNAcentral is "bacterial SSU rRNA". It matches the Rfam family "Bacterial small subunit ribosomal RNA", at positions 356 to 773 of the family's 1533-position model. The record is from RNAcentral.
GGGGAAUAUUGCGCAAUGGGGGAAACCCUGACGCAGCAACGCCGCGUGAAGGAUGAAGGUUUUCGGAUUGUAAACUUCUUUGACUAGGGACGAUAAUGACGGUACCUAGAAAACAAGCUCCGGCUAACUACGUGCCAGCAGCCGCGGUAAUACGUAGGGAGCGAGCGUUAUCCGGAUUUACUGGGUGUAAAGGGCGAGUAGGCGGACUUACAAGUCAGUUGUGAAAUCUGGGGGCUUAACCCCCAGCCUGCAAUUGAAACUGUAGGCCUUGAGUGAUGGAGAGGCAGGCGGAAUUCCCAGUGUAGCGGUGAAAUGCGUAGAUAUUGGGAGGAACACCAGUGGCGAAGGCGGCCUGCUGGACAUUAACUGACGCUGAGGCGCGAAAGCGUGGGGAGCAAAC